UGGCUCAGAACGAACGCUGGCGGCGUGCCUAACACAUGCAAGUCGAGCGCGAAUGGGGAAACCCUAGUAGAGCGGCGCACGGGUGCGUAACACGUGGGUAAUCUGCCUGGGAGUCCGGGAUAACCAGCCGAAAGGUUGGCUAAUACCGGAUAAGCCCACGGGGACUUCGGUCCCUGAGGGAAAAGGUGGCCUCUGUAUACAAGCUAUCACUUCCAGAUGAGCCCGCGGCCCAUCAGCUAGUUGGCGGGGUAAUGGCCCACCAAGGCAACGACGGGUAGCUGGUCUGAGAGGACGAUCAGCCACACUGGAACUGAGACACGGUCCAGACUCCUACGGGAGGCAGCAGUGGGGAAUUUUGCGCAAUGGGCGAAAGCCUGACGCAGCAACGCCGCGUGUGUGAUGAAGGUCUUCGGAUUGUAAAGCACUUUCGACCGGGACGAAACCGCAGGAGCUAACAUCUCCUGUCUUGACGGUACCGGGAGAAGAAGCACCGGCUAACUCUGUGCCAGCAGCCGCGGUAA
This 521-nucleotide ribosomal RNA is filed under the name uncultured delta proteobacterium. RNAcentral describes it as "bacterial SSU rRNA". It matches the Rfam family "Bacterial small subunit ribosomal RNA", at positions 20 to 523 of the family's 1533-position model. The record is from RNAcentral. Lineage: Bacteria; Deltaproteobacteria.